Long non-coding RNA from Lutra lutra (Eurasian river otter), 513 nucleotides. RefSeq lists it as uncharacterized. The record is from RefSeq and is a predicted model, not a curated record. The transcript has 4 exons. NCBI's taxonomy places the organism in Eukaryota, Metazoa, Chordata, Mammalia, Carnivora, Mustelidae.
CCUGCGGCGGCGUCCACGCUGACAGGACCCGCUGUGGGGGACGUGGGGUGGCGUCCACGCUGACAGCCGUCCAGGCCCCUCAGGACCUGCGGCGGGAGAAGGGAUUUGGGCAGGAUAAAGGGAGGAGCACAGCUUCUGUGAACACCUCUGUUACCUCUGUUGACCAUGGAACAGUGAAAAACCAGUGUUCCUGGGUCACACCUCCAACAGCACAGAAGGGCGGCUGUUCUCGUUCUUCCUGGAGCUUCCCUGAAGAACCGAGCAUGUGUGUGUAUUUUCCAGCACAAAAGGGCUCAUCCUAGAAGGAUGCUUGGAAGGUCUGACAAGCACUCUCCACUCCAUGGGUGACACCAGAAGAAACAGAAGCAGGUGUGCCGGCCUUAGGUCAGAGGCGCCUUCUCAUCCCCACCUGACAACACUUCUCCACUCUGGCUCCACGAGACCCGAAGGUUUGAACAACAGCGUCUGAGUCAGGCAGGCAGCUCGUCACAGGACGCCCGCUUUCCGUGAAAG